CAGGCGCGAAAACUUUACAAUGCUGGCAACAGCGAUAAGGAGACCUCGAGUGCCAGGUUACAAAUCUGGCUGUCGAGAUGCCUAAAAAGCAUUUCAUAGCAAGGGCCGGGCAAGACCGGUGCCAGCCGCCGCGGUAACACCGGCGGCUCGAGUGGUAACCGCUAUUAUUUGGUCUAAAGGGUCUGUAGCCGGCCGAGUAAGUCUUUUGGGAAAUCUGGCUGCUCAACAGUCAGGCUAUCAGGAGAUACUGUUCGGCUCGAGGCCGGGAGAGGUGAGAGGUACUUCAGGGGUAGGGGUGAAAUCUUGUAAUCCUUGAAGGACCACCAGUGGCGAAGGCGUCUCACCAGAACGGGCCUGACGGCAAGGGACGAAAGCUAGGGGCACGAACCGGAUUAGAUACCCGGGUAGUCCUAGCCGUAAACGAUACUCGCUAGGUGUCGGCCACGGUGCGACCGUGGUCGGUGCCGUAGGGAAGCCGUGAAGCGAGCCACCUGGGAAGUACGGCCGCAAGGCUGAAACUUAAAGGAAUUGGCGGGGGAGCACUACAACGGGUGGAGCCUGCGGUUUAAUUGGAUUCAACGCCGGGAAGCUUACCGGGAUCGACAGCAAUAUGAAGGCCAGGCUGAAGACCUUGCCGGAUUCGCUGAGAGGUGGUGCAUGGCCGUCGUCAGUUCGUACUGUGAAG
Molecule: ribosomal RNA, 685 nt
Filed under: uncultured archaeon
Lineage: Archaea
Description: bacterial SSU rRNA
Rfam family: Archaeal small subunit ribosomal RNA
Source: RNAcentral